Molecule: non-coding RNA, 97 nt
Organism: Mycena floridula
Lineage: Eukaryota; Fungi; Basidiomycota; Agaricomycetes; Agaricales; Mycenaceae
Source: the annotation of a GenBank genome assembly
GCGGCUAUAGCUCAAUUGGUAGAGCGUCCAUUAACUCUGUGACCCACUGAUUUACUUUGCUACAUGGAGGUUGAGAGUUCGAACCUCUCUAGCCACG